RNAcentral lists this ribosomal RNA (305 nucleotides) under uncultured bacterium. Its description in RNAcentral is "partial 16S ribosomal RNA". It matches the Rfam family "Bacterial small subunit ribosomal RNA", at positions 508 to 807 of the family's 1533-position model. The record is from RNAcentral.
ACAGCAGCCGCCGCGGUAACACGGAGGAUCCAAGCGUUAUCCGGAAUCAUUGGGUUUAAAGGGUCCGUAGGCGGUCUUGUAAGUCAGUGGUGAAAGCCCAUCGCUCAACGGUGGAACGGCCAUUGAUACUGCAGGACUUGAAUUAUUGGGAAGUAACUAGAAUAUGUAGUGUAGCGGUGAAAUGCUUAGAGAUUACAUGGAAUACCAAUUGCGAAGGCAGGUUACUACCAAUUGAUUGACGCUGAUGGACGAAAGCGUGGGUAGUGAUCAGGAUUAGAUACCCCCGUAGUCCCUGUCUCUUAUAC